CAAGUAGUGAGGAAGGUGGGGAUGACGUCAAAUCAGCACGGCCCUUACGUCCAGGGCUACACACGUGCUACAAUGGCCGAUACAGAGGGCAGCUACCUGGUGACAGGAUGCAAAUCUCCAAAGUCGGUCUCAGUUCGGAUCGGAGUCUGCAACCCGACUCCGUGAAGUUGGAUUCGCUAGUAAUCGCGCAUCAGCCAUGGCGCGGUGAAUACGUUCCCGGGCCUU
RNAcentral lists this ribosomal RNA (225 nucleotides) under uncultured Sphingobacteriales bacterium. RNAcentral's name for it is "partial 16S ribosomal RNA". It matches the Rfam family "Bacterial small subunit ribosomal RNA", at positions 1159 to 1382 of the family's 1533-position model. The record is from RNAcentral. Lineage: Bacteria; Pseudomonadati; Bacteroidota; Sphingobacteriia; Sphingobacteriales.